Molecule: non-coding RNA, 6315 nt
Organism: Coturnix japonica (Japanese quail)
Lineage: Eukaryota; Metazoa; Chordata; Aves; Galliformes; Phasianidae
Source: RefSeq, a predicted model, not a curated record
CCCUCCUCCUGCCGGGCCGGGCCGCCCACAGCCCUGCCCCCGCCGCGGCUCUCCCGCCUCACCUCGGCUGGCGGCGGAGCUCCCCCCUCCUUGAGGCGGACAGGUGUGGAGCUCUGAGCGGCCGUAGUGCAGUACAAUAAUAUAGCAAGAGGCAGCUCGGCCGGCAAAGAGUUAAACUGAACCAAACCGGCACAUUAUGGGAGGAUUUAUUUGCUUAGUACAUCAACAAGUGCGAUGGGCAGCGCAGGUGGAAGCAGUGCAUGCCAGUCCUCCAUUCAGGCAUGCUUCACAGCUAAGUAAACCUAAAUCAAAAGAGUGAGUGCUUUCAGGGCCCUGAGCUCGUCUGUUUCUGUAGGGGCUGGAGUUUUGUGGCAUUCAGGUAAAAUCAUCUGAAUUGUGAAAUAGAAUGGUUGGAAGGGAUGUGCCCUUGCAGCCCAGAGAGCCAGUUGUAUCCUGGGCUGAAACAAAGGCUGGAUGUAAGUUUUUUGUCCACAGUGAAGGUGGUGAGGUGGCAUAGAGCAGGCUGCACAGAGAGGUGGUGGUGCUCUGAUCUUUGAGGCUCUCAAGGUCAGGCUGCACAGGGCUCUGGGCACCUAAUGGAGCUGUAGGUGUCCCUGCUCACUGUAGGGGACUUGGGCCAGAUGACUUUAAGGCUCCCUUCCAACUCAAAUGGUUCUGUUAUUCUGCAGUGUCUCACUAGUUUGUGGAAGCUUGGGGAUGGAACGGAGGUCAGCAGAAGGCUGGAGCUGUGUAACUGCUGGAAUUGCAUCGCCUUGCCUGCUCACUCAGGAGCACCACAGCCCCAUGUAGAGGCAUCAGGCUGUGUCCACACUGUCUGCCAACCUCACAUCAGAGUCUGUGCCCAUCAAGCUAGAAUUCAUUUGUAUUGAACACUGGCUUGCAUCUAAUCAAAGGCUUAGGCCAUGCUCUGUGACAGAGAAGUUCAGACCUUAGCACAGAACCAGUCUCAUUCAUUCAGCCUGCAAUUCAGUUGGUGAGGACAGGAAACAUGUGGGUGAACUUGGAGUAUUGGGAAGACAAACCCCAAGGAAAUUUCAACUGGACUCAAGCCUUUAAAUUUAGGAACUCUGUCUGGUUAGUGCACGCUGGAGAUGUUUAUCAGGUCUGAUGACCUGGUUUUUGGAGUGGACAACGUGCCCAUGUAUAAUUAAGAUAUGGUGAAAGUUUAUUGUAUAAGUGUGCUGGAAUUUUGGUUUGGCUUUGCAAUAAAGGGAUCACUGAGUCACAGUUGCUAAACAGACCACGGAGGAUACAGGUCUCUGCUGCCGAGCUGGCAUAAAUGUAAGGAACUGAAAUUAAUUUAUUUCCUAGUCCAGGCAAAAGCAUCCAUGCUGUAAAUAAGGCUGUGGCUUGAUGACACAAAGCCUUUGCUGUGUGACUGGUUCCUAGCUGCUCCUUGUUCCUGCCAUUCCUUAGCUGUGCCUGCAGCUCUUUGUGGCUGAAAUGGGAUCCUGAAUGGAUGUGAUGGAUACCAAUCCAUCAGAAAAACAACCUAUGUGAAAAUAUUUGUAAAUAUAUUUUAAAUUAUGUAAAGAUAUUUAAAAUAGAUGCACGUGUUCUUUAAGUUCAUCCAUCAUCUAAUUUAUUAUUCAGAGGCUAUGGAUGGAUUUUGUUCGUCCUUGCUACUACAGGAGCAAGCAAAAGUGUAGCAACAUGGCUAAAUGUGAAACUGAGCCCAGUGAAGAAGGUUGUGUUCCUCAAACAAUGGUUGAAUAUUCGGUCAGUAAAGCGUAAAUGGAUUGCUUUAUGGGAUUGUUGUGCAAUCAGUUAAUGUGUUGUGUGUGUUUGAAUAGCAUCUCUUGUGCUGUUUGAGAUGUACACAUUUUGCAUUAAAGGCAGCUCAACAACUGGGAUAGUUUUUCUGGUAGCACUCAAAUUAUAACCUGGGUUAGCCAUACAUUGAAGAGAAGGCCAAUGUGUUGUUGCGGCACCUCUUACAAACCCCGCUGUCUAUUGGUCUCCAUUCCUGGUGCUAUCGAUUUCAAGACAACAGAGUUCUUCUGUGGGACUCUAGGAGUCUUUCUGUUGUUGUUGCUUGUUUGAGUUGUGAGUUUUGUCAAUUUACAUGUGUGCUUUUUGGUAACUGAGAAAACUCCCUGUGAUAAAAUACAGCAGUCUCAGCUCCAGCCUCUAUCUGCUCUGAGUGCUGUAAUUACCUCCCUGUGAUGGCAUCAUUUGUACAAUAACCCCUGUCACGCUAUGUGCAGAAAGGUUACGGGCCACAUUCCAGUGCAAUGCACACAUCAGGAUUAAAACGCCACUUUCUGAUGCACAGAACUAGAUACACUACACACACUCACAUGUUUAUGGAGCGUUACUAUUUCUUUUAUUUAACAUGAAGGUUUAGAAAGUAUUACUUGUAAAAUCUGAUAGUGAAAAUAGAAAAUGAAUAAAUAAAUGGGUAGGAUAAAUAAGAGCAGGAAAACUGAAUGGCGAAGCGAGAUCACACCACACAAAGAUUUCCAGGUUAGUCUGACACCAUUAAUAAUGCAUAAACCUCGGUCAACGUGUGUGUUUCUAUCGUCCUCUUGUGGGAAGGUACAAAGCAUAAAUGACUGCACAGUAAUAAUUUGGGAACCAACUUUGAUGUUUCAUCACAAACAAACCUAAAUUCCCAACCCACACACAAGAAUGUAAACACGCUUUAAGAAAACAUCCCACAAACAAGGAGAGGGAGUCAUCCCAGGAAUUUGUGAUUAAAUGGCAUGGAAUCUCCCUUUUGCACAAAGCAGACCAAUGGACAUACGUGUGCGUGAAGGCACGGUAGAUUCAGCUAAAGCCAAAGUGCUAAACACACUGCUUGAACUCAUCUCCCCCAUUCUAUAGUGCUUUCAUGAUCCUUUUGCACUGUUUCAUUAUGUUUGCUGCAAAUUCACCUUAUGUAUGCAUUGCAUCCUGUGUAUGCAUAGGAUGUAGCUGAUGUGCCAUUGUUACAACUAUAUAAAUGAGAGCAAGAGGUGCGUUAAGAAAGGUAGCGUGAGAAUUUUGUGUAUGUUAGUAAUAACUUAUGGCUGCUUUACUUUCUCAUUCUUCCUUGUGGUGUUUUAUUAACGCUGGUUAGUUAUUAACUAUGCUGGGUUCCUAUAUUUGUUGAAGCUGUAAAACACUUUCACUAGAAGUAAACAGAUUGAUUCUCUGCUUGUAGAAAAGUGCAUUUGGCAGAUACAAAGAGGACAUCUGGCUUUCCCUGGGAGGGGAGUAGCCCAUCCUGCUUGCAACAGCGGUGCAGAUAUGAUAACAUGACACAAAGGAAUUAAGGUCCUAAGUGAGGCCAUGGUAGCGUGCUGCUGUCUUCCUGGAGGAGCAGGAGUCACAGGAAGUCUGUAGCACUACUCCUAGUGCACGCAAAUCCCCUGCCGCUGUGCUUUGGAAGCAGCAGGAAGGAUAAUACUGAGUUUUGAAGUGAAAUACAGUGCAGAGCACAGUGUGAAAAGUGAAGUCUCCUGCAAGCAAGUGGAAACCUGGAUCCCCAUCAAGAAGUGACAUAAUUCAACUCUCUGCAAGAGUUCAAAGGCUGCAUCUUAAAAAUCCCAACCCCCACUUAUCUGGUGGGUUUUUUAACCAGCAGAGGAAGUAGUUUGUCUCCCGGUUCAGCAAACACAGCUAACAGCUUUUCAAAACGACCAGUUACUCUUUGCUAGCAUUCUGCAUUUUUGCCUGGAAAGAAGAAGAAAAACAUUGUCCUUAGGAACAGUCUCCACAAUCAUCCAUAAUAACAGAACAAGACAUACAUUCUUUCAUCCACUGCAUUUAGAAAAUGUGCAGCUUCCCCUUGACCUGCUGCAGAGGAGACAGUAAGUAUCUGUGUGAUGAGAUCCAGAGGCUGUGUCUUGAAACCCAUUUGGAUAAAAUGGAAAAUCUAAGAAAUGUAUCUUCUAAGCAAAGGAGGACUGGUGAGAUCCGAUUCAUUCAGAUCACAAUGAUUACAGAGCCUAUCAACUCAUCUAUUUGCUUCAUAUUCGGCAUCUUUCCCUCUCUAGGAAUCAAACUGAAACACUGUCAUUUUGGAUAAACCUGGUCCAUCUUGUGAUGGAUAGAAUUAUUGCCACCAAAGGAAGCUGACAAGCAAAAGGAAACCCAAAGUUGGUUUGAUGAAUCUCCCUCCGUGCUCCUGCUUAUUCCAAAAUCUUCAAUAAUGGGCAAAAAUCUGACAGAGCAGAAAGUCACCAGCUGUUCUGAGCUCAUCUGCAGCUCACACAGCUGCCUAGAGAACAGAACUUGCUUGAUUAAACUGGAGAGAUUUCAGAAAAGCGCAGCAAAACUUUACAUGAAUUAAACAGGUUUAAGUAAGCAGUGACUAAGCAGCACAGAUGAGCUUACAGGGGAGGAAGAUACUGAGCGAAGCCAGUGAGAGCAUCUGGGGAGAAAUGGCAUGAAUUCAAAAGUUCAUCUAAAUGCAGAGCUCUUCUGACUUGAUUUAAGCGUGAUUUAAAAUGAUUUAGUUAAAGAAGUUCAAAAGGCUAAGCAGGCACUCUUGUUUUGAUAUAAACCAUAUCUGGAGUUAAAAUAUUUGGAAAUAUAUCAUACGCUAAACACCAAAAUUAUUCUUUUAAGCCAAAGGAAGAGUGAUUGCAGAGGUAUUCCUUGCCAAACUAAACCAGCACAGAGGUGCGAACGGAGUGGGACAAGGAAGGGAGAGCCAGCAGGAGGAGGGUGAGAAAGUAUCUGAGGAGGAGUCCUGCUUUGUCUCCAGAGGUGAUCGAUGGGACAGCAUUUUCUAGGACCAUUGUCUCUGCUUUUGAGGAUUUUAGAAUGGGUCUAGGGACCUUUUUAACUUAAUUGCAUGCCCUUCCUAUGCUAGUCCCAAAAGAGACAACGUCAGCUCAUAAGAAGUCUUGGAAAAUACAUGAACAACUCAAGACUGGCCAAUAUAUCAUCAUAUUCUGCCACCCUGGGGUCAUGCACUGCCUCUGCAGACUUCAGGGUGAUUUGACCCAAAGCCUUUCAGCUUGGCACAGGGAAACCCCACCGUCACAACGAGGUGGUGGUCUUCCAGUUUGCCAUGUGAAACAAUUAGACAAUGGUCCUCUGGUACAACAUUUCCUUCCUUGCCACAGGAAAGUGCUCCUUCAGCUGAACACCUGGCACAGCGCCUAUGCAAUGCGGGCACCCAGGGUACCAGCACUUCUGUCUGAGCCAUUUCUUGAAACUGAGAUCUGAAUUUUCCAUUUUCCUCCUACUUUUCAAAUGUAAUACUGGGAUCACAACAACCCGAGGAACCUGAAUUCAGAUGUUAAGAUUUAAGCUAUCUCUACUGAAAAUACAGACAACUGUCAUGUAAGUAUCCUUACCAAGCAAGUCAGAAGGGGACUGGCUUUCCUUUUAAAUUAUCUUUUGAAUUAUCUUUUUCUAAUAUCUUCUGUGACUCACAAGCCAGUCUACAAUGCUCAGGAUAUCAGAAACACUUCGCUUAGUGCGUUCCUAGCGCAGUUUGUCAUUCAAGUGACUUUUUCCAACUUUUAGUUACACUCUACUCACAGUGCUUUGUGCAUCCCUGAGGGAGGCAGUACAGCCUGGUAGCUGUUGGGAAGUGCUUGGAGUGGAUGUUACAAAGGACACCGGUUUUGAGCUCAGCGGAAGCGCUUCGGCGCAGCUGUGUAACCUUGGGGCAGAUCACUCAACUGCUUUGUGCCCAAGUGAACCCAGCUGCAAGGCGUCUUGGAAACCAGAUGGUGCACAAGGUUUCAAUCAUUCAGGAAAAUUAAGAGGGAUAUGGGGAGUGGGGAAAAAAAAGUUAAUUCUGUAGUACAUUGCUUCCAACAGAGUUGAUUUGGAUUUAAGCAGAAUAACUGAGAAUUUGAUUUGAUAACCAGAAUCUCUCCAAACCCCACCCCCUACUUCCAGCCAAAACCACAAACCCCGCCAUUUCCCUCAAAUUGCUUUUUCCUGUUCUCCCUUGACUUUAUGUCAAGUAUCUUCUCUCUAGAAGUUUCAUUUCAAAGCUCCAGUAGAAUACAUUUUUUCCCUUUGGAAGAUUGAAGAGAUUCAGAAUAGGCUUCUGUGUGGCUAAUCUUUGAUAUUUUAUGUGGUCAUUUUUAGGCACUGAAUUUUGUAUUGUUCUCUUUAUGCUUUUCAUGCUACUGCUCUCUUUCCUCCUUGCUGAGCAAAAAUGGCACAGCAGCGUGCUCCAGUGCUUCAGUACUAUGCUGUGAACAAAAAUGCUGAGCUCAAUCAUCCCCUGUAGAUGGUUUUAUAGCCACCCUGCUCUACUUGUUCCUUAUUGCCACAUAGGGAACUUACACAAAAAUGACAAGUAGACCAUUGAGAACCUGCCUACAGAAUGAUGCUAAAAGG